This 374-nucleotide ribosomal RNA is filed under the name uncultured organism. RNAcentral describes it as "bacterial SSU rRNA". It matches the Rfam family "Bacterial small subunit ribosomal RNA", at positions 526 to 896 of the family's 1533-position model. The record is from RNAcentral.
CGUAGGGACCAAGCGUUGUCCGGAUUCAUUGGGCGUAAAGAGCUCGUAGGCGGCUCAGUAAGUCGGGUGUGAAACCUCCAGGCUCAACCUGGAGACGCCACCCGAUACUGCUGUGGCUAGAGUCCAGUAGGGGAGCGUGGAAUUCCUGGUGUAGCGGUGAAAUGCGCAGAUAUCAGGAGGAACACCAGCGGCGAAGGCGGCGCUCUGGGCUGGAACUGACGCUGAGGAGCGAAAGCGUGGGGAGCGAACAGGAUUAGAUACCCUGGUAGUCCACGCCGUAAACGUUGGGUACUAGGUGUGGGGUCUUAUCAACGGAUUCCGUGCCGAAGCUAACGCAUUAAGUACCCCGCCUGGGGAGUACGGCCGCAAGGCUA